Molecule: ribosomal RNA, 246 nt
Filed under: uncultured bacterium
Lineage: Bacteria
Description: partial 16S ribosomal RNA
Rfam family: Bacterial small subunit ribosomal RNA
Source: RNAcentral
CGUAUGGUGCAAGCGUUAUCCGGAUUUACUGGGCGUAAAGGGAGCGCAGGCGGUGCGGCAAGUCUGAUGUGAAAGCCCGGGGCUCAACCCCGGUACUGCAUUGGAAACUGUCGUACUAGAGUGUCGGAGGGGUAAGCGGAAUUCCUAGUGUAGCGGUGAAAUGCGUAGAUAUUAGGAGGAACACCAGUGGCGAAGGCGGCUUACUGGACGAUAACUGACGCUGAGGCUCGAAAGCGUGGGGAGCAA